Molecule: ribosomal RNA, 505 nt
Filed under: uncultured bacterium
Lineage: Bacteria
Description: bacterial SSU rRNA
Rfam family: Bacterial small subunit ribosomal RNA
Source: RNAcentral
UGGCUAGGAUGAACGCUAGCGGCAGGCUUAACACAUGCAAGUCGAGGGGCAGCGGGAUGUAGCAAUACAUUGCCGGCGACCGGCGGAUGGGUGCGUAACGCGUAUGCAACCUACCUUAUACAGGGGAAUAACCUUUCGAAAGGGAGACUAACACCCCAUGGUAUUGAUUUAAGGCAUCUUAGAUUAAUUAAAUAUUUAUAGGUAUAAGAUGGGCAUGCGUAUGAUUAGCUAGUUGGUAAGGUAACGGCUUACCAAGGCGACGAUCAUUAGGGGUUCUGAGAGGAAGGUCCCCCACACUGGUACUGAGACACGGACCAGACUCCUACGGGAGGCAGCAGUGAGGAAUAUUGGUCAAUGGGCGCAAGCCUGAACCAGCCAUGCCGCGUGCAAGGAAGACGGCCUUAUGGGUUGUAAACUGCUUUUACAUAAGACUAACCGUAUAUUUGCGAAUAUACCUGAAUGUAUUAUGAGAAUAAGGAUCGGCUAACUCCGUGCCAGCCGCGGC